Ribosomal RNA from Lates calcarifer (barramundi perch), 123 nucleotides. NCBI's taxonomy places the organism in Eukaryota, Metazoa, Chordata, Actinopteri, Centropomidae. The record is from Ensembl.
AUUUUUGAUAAUACAUUUUUUUAAAAAAGCACGCCCGAUCUCGUCUGAUCUCGGAAGCUAAGCAGCGUCGGGCCUGGUUAGUAAUUGAAUGGGAGCGCCUGGGAAUACCAGGUGCCGUAAGCU